This 513-nucleotide ribosomal RNA is filed under the name uncultured bacterium. RNAcentral describes it as "partial 16S ribosomal RNA". It matches the Rfam family "Bacterial small subunit ribosomal RNA", at positions 28 to 523 of the family's 1533-position model. The record is from RNAcentral.
GACGAACGCUGGCGGCAUGCCUAAUACAUGCAAGUCGAGCGAACAGAUGAAGUGCUUGCACUUCUGACGUUAGCGGCGAACGGGUGAGUAACACGUAAGGAAUCUACCUAUAAGCGGGGGAUAACAUUCGGAAACGGGUGCUAAUACCGCAUAAUAUCUUCUUCCGCAUGGAAGAAGAUUGAAAGACGGCUCUGCUGUCACUUAUAGAUGACCUUGCGGUGCAUUAGUUAGUUGGUGGGGUAACGGCCUACCAAGACGAUGAUGCAUAGCCGACCUGAGAGGGUGGUCGGCCACAUUGGGACUGAGACACGGCCCAAACUCCUGCGGGAGGCAGCAGUAGGGAAUCUUCCGCAAUGGGCGAAAGCCUGACGGAGCAAUGCCGCGUGAGUGAAGAAGGCCUUCGAGUCGUAAAACUCUGUUAUAAGAGAAGAACAAAUUGUAGAGUAACUGCUACAGUCUUGACGGUAUCUUAUCAGAAAGCCACGGCUAACUACGUGCCAGCCGCCGCUGUAA